Molecule: ribosomal RNA, 382 nt
Filed under: Hastigerina pelagica
Lineage: Eukaryota; Foraminifera; Rotaliida; Hantkeninidae
Description: bacterial SSU rRNA
Rfam family: Eukaryotic small subunit ribosomal RNA
Source: RNAcentral
ACAGUGGCUUAAUUUGACUCAACGCGGGAAAUCUUACCGGGUCCGGACACACUGAGGAUUGACAGACAGUAUUCAUGCCGACUGAAUUUCGACAUAUUUCAAAUGUGCGAGUUCUUUCAUGAUUGUGUGAUAGGUGGUGCAUGGCCGUUCUUAGUUCGUGGAGUGAUCUGUCUGCUUAAUUGCGUUUCAUAUUUACGAAUGUCGCUUACGUGAUUGCUGCAGACCUCGCGUCUCUUUAUUGAGUGCGACGCGUCUCUUCAACUCACUCGCACAUUCUCUUGAACGCAACGAGCGUGACCGCAACCUCUUGUUGUGUAUACCAAGUGUGUCGUUGCUUGCAACUCACACUCCAAUGCACGUAUUUUGGUCACAUUGUCUCGGU